Lolium perenne is the source of this 308-nucleotide long non-coding RNA. RefSeq lists it as uncharacterized. The record is from RefSeq and is a predicted model, not a curated record. Lineage: Eukaryota; Viridiplantae; Streptophyta; Magnoliopsida; Poales; Poaceae.
AGCGGUGGUUUCACUUCGAUUGACCUCCUGAAACUGAAAUGGUUCACAGAUCAAGAUCUGGUCAGAUCUGACUUUGUCGAAUUAAAUCAGGAGCUUGGGGACGAAUUUUGGAAUGAAACCAAUUGGGGGAUACUUAGUUGUGCCAUGGUGAUACCGAGAGAGGCAAUUGCUAAGUUAUGAUACUCUCAUACCUUUACUAGAUGCGAACGAUUCCGGAGAAGAAGAAGUGGAUCGGACAAGGAUUUUAUUUAUAUUGUUGGUAUUCUUAUAUUGAUGAAGUUGAAGAAGUCCAGGGACAAAUAAGCCAA